RNAcentral lists this ribosomal RNA (306 nucleotides) under Triticum aestivum (bread wheat). RNAcentral describes it as "partial small subunit ribosomal RNA". Lineage: Eukaryota; Viridiplantae; Streptophyta; Magnoliopsida; Poales; Poaceae. The record is from RNAcentral.
AUGGGUACUAGAAGGCAUCUUCCGACAUCAUUGAAAGAAGAACUAAGUUCAUCAUUUGAACUUGACUGGGCUGCAGAAUACUUGCGCUUCUUUGUCCUGGCAGAGCAUUUGGGUACUGCCCCGAUUUUUUUUAAAGAAAAUAGCACUUGGGUGCCAAGUGCCAACAACUUGUUCUGGCUCCUCUGUAUCUUUGAAUACCAUCCGGAAGAGACAAGUUCGCCUUGCUUUGUUUUUCCGUGUGAGUCAUGUUAUUUGGAAACCCUCGGGUUUCAUCGGUAUCAAAUCCUGCUAGUUUCUCCAAGUUGA